AACGAACGCUGGCGGCAUGCCUAACACAUGCAAGUCGAACGAGACCUUCGGGUCUAGUUGCGCACGGGUGCGUAACGCGUGGGAACCUGCCCUUAGGCUCGGAAUAACUCCCCGAAAGGGGUGCUCAUACCGGGUAAUGUCUUAGGACCAACGAUUUAUCGCCUUAGGAUGGGCCCGCGUUGGAUUAGCUAGUUGGUAGGGUAAAAGCCUGCCAAGGCGAUGAUCCAUAGCUGGUCUGAGACGAGGAUCAGCCACAAUGGGACUGAGACACGGCCCAGAAUCCUACGGGAGGCAGCAGUGGGGAAUAUUGGACAAGGGGCGAAAGUCUGACCCAGCCAUGCCGCGGGAGUGAGGAAGGGCUUAGGGUUGUAAAGCUCGCUUACACGGAAUGAUAAUGACAGUACCGGGAGAAUAAGCUCCGGCUAACUCCGUG
Molecule: ribosomal RNA, 433 nt
Filed under: uncultured bacterium
Lineage: Bacteria
Description: partial 16S ribosomal RNA
Rfam family: Bacterial small subunit ribosomal RNA
Source: RNAcentral